CCCGUCACGUCAUGGGAGUUGUCAAGGCGUGAAGUCCGUGGGCUGACCGUUGCAAGACGGAGGCAGCGGCCGAGCGCCGGGGCAGCGACUGGGACG
This 96-nucleotide ribosomal RNA is filed under the name uncultured bacterium. RNAcentral's name for it is "partial 16S ribosomal RNA". The record is from RNAcentral.